GUCAGCACAGAGCCCAACGCAGGGCUCGAUCCCACAAACCAUGAGAUCGUGACCUGAGCCGAGAUCAAGAGUCAGAUGCUACCCAACUGAGCCAUCCCGGUGCCCCACCCCCCAGGAAUAGUAUUUUUUACAGAAGAUGCCCCAAUUUGUGUUGUUGAUAACUAACACCGAGCAGAAAGAGCCAUUUCGGAGGAAGAGUUUUCGAAACUGGAAGACUGUGUAUGCCGUGAAAAUUAAUGUUAAUAAAGUCAGAUAUGUUGCUAGAUAUUUGUAUCCAGAAAAAUGGAUUUAUCACUGAGUUAACUUAAAAAAUUUUUGCCUCGUCCAAAAAUUACUUUUAAUUCUAACCACCGAAUGAUAAAGCAUAGUUCCUAGAAUGGAUGCAUUCUUCCAACAGCUGGUUUACUCGGAUUAUUCAGGAUUUUUGCUGGAAUCCAAGUGGUCUUGCAAGAGAACCGAUGAUUUUCUGAUGAAGCUGUUCACACGCUUUUGAAGCCAGGAGAAGGGUUCUAUAGACAACAAGACUGUAUGAAGGUAUGAAAUUGUCUUGGUAAGACGAAGUAAAAUUGGGCCACCACACAAGCAAACAUGGACAUCACCUGUAUCUGGAGUCUCAAAGUCAUGAAAUACGCAGUGUUUGAAAGGUUACGAGAAAUACAUUGAUUUGAUUGGAUCUUUUUCUUUUUGGCCAUCCUUCGUGUUACAAAACAGUUGAAGCUUAGUAUCAUUUCAAGCACGGAGUGUAAAGUGAUCGGUGAGGCUGGAUGGAGGAAAGGCAAGAGAAAUGAAUUUGAAGGACAAAAAAACAAAAAAACAAAAACCACAUAUCCUUCGAAGACCUCCCUGUCUCGAGGACAGAAAAUGCCUUGGCAGUCGCGAUUUUUGUGCAGUCAGAAGGGAGCUGAUUUCCCAGCUGUUCUGGUGUAUUUUCCUUAUUAGUCUUUGCUCCCACGGUCUAAAAGCAAAUACCGGAUCUAAGCGCCUACAGUACUGGUCAAGGACUGCAGCUUCCCUCGUGUGUGACUCACAGGCGCGAGCAAACCACCUACUGUAACAGCUGGCCCCAGACCCUGGCCCGGCCACAGCGCAGCAGCUGCUUUGCUGGACCCCUGCUUGCUUGGCUAUUAACUGUCUUAACUGUUGCUCUUACCUUUAUGGGCUGUGGUAAAGGCAGGCUUUAUUUAUUUAUGUUUGUUUGUUUUUGAGAGAGAGAGAGCGCGCGCGCGCACGCGAACAAGUGAGGGAGGGACAGAGAGAGAGGGAGACACAGAGUCCAAAGCAGGCUCCAGACUCCGAGCUGUCAGCACAGAGCCCGACGUGGGGCUCGAAGUCACAAACCGUGAGAUCAUGACCUGAGCCAAAGUCGGACGCUUAACCAACUGAGCCACCCAGGUGUGCCAAAGGUGGGCUUUAGGUGCAUAGACCCUUGGGUCCAUUUUUCCCCAAUUGUAUUUCUCGGUUCUUACUAAAAGAUUUCAGCGGUCACCUGGAAGCGUAAUUUCGAUUUAGGAUGCUAGAAGGCCGGUCAUCAUUCACAACGGCCCUUCAUGUGCUUUUCUGCAUGCAUGAUUACUUUCUUGAUGAACAAAGGUUAUGCUUAGUUUCAGGCUUGGUUAUUAUUUGUUACUAUUACGAUCAGUAUGAGGUGAACCACCUUUAUAAGAACUUGUUUCCUUUUUUUUAAUGUUUAUUUUUGAGAGAGAGACAGAGGGCAGGCGGGGAGGGGCAGAGAGAGAAGGAGACACAGAAUCCGAAAGAGGUACCACGCUCCGAGCUGUCAGUGCAGAUCCUGACGGGGGGCUGGAACUCACAAACUGUGAGAACGUGACCUGGGCCGAAGUCGGACGCUUAACUGACUGAGCCACCCAGGCGCCCCUAUAAGAACUAGUUUCUUAAAACGGGAUGGCAUCUUGCUGCGUUUCUUUGACUCUCCGCCAUACCUCUCCUCUGCCCAGAGGACCAUUCUCGAGGCUUCACUAGAGAAAGGGAGAGCACAGCACCUGGCCUCAGAAAGCCUCCAAACCGGUUGUGGCUACAGAUUAACAUGUGAGAAUCAAAGAUUCCCAAAGGAAGGCAAAUCAGAUGCAGUUUCAGAGAAAGGAGAGAUUUUUUUUUGCGGGGCAGGUCAGUCUGUGCCCCAUUGCUUGUGUCUUGCAGCCUUGUGUUUUACUGGGUAUUAGUAUUGUUUCGCAAAAGUUGUUCUGGAGUCACACGCCAUGCUAUUUUCAUCUUUCGAUCUCCCUAUUCUAGUACAUUCCGGCCCCUGCACGGGACACGACACUUUACACAUAACACGUGCCAGGUAAACAUUUGCUGACAUAAUUGGAUGGGAGAAGGCUUUGUGGAAAAGGCAGAGCUUGGGCCCAGCUUUAGAUAGAGAGGGGAGGUUGGCCAGUGACAUACUCUGCCUGUAUAUGAGUCAUUCGUUCUGGGCCUUGAGGAAGAACUGGCAAAGUCAAAACAGAGCGGAGACACAUGCCAGGUCGAAAGAAUAACUACGGCAGAGCAGAGGGUUAGUGUAUGAAAUACGGGGUCAAGGAGGAGGCCUGGCAAGACGUUGUUCUGGAGAAUACCUGGGACGGUAGGGUAGCCAGAUACAACAGCAGGGCCCCUCGGACGUGCUGUGGGUGGAUGGACACCAAAGUAAUAGUCUUUCUCUCCCUGUCUCAUGCUGAGGACACACUUUUCCUUUGUACCUUAGCGCAUUUAUUGUAGUCUUCGGGGGUGGGCGGGACCUGUCAACGUGAUGUCAUACUUCCCUUCUUUACAUGCGGAUGUUUUAUUUGUUAAUCAGUUUGUUCUGGAGUUGGUUUGUUUUCAGGAAAGAGGUGGAACGCAUUUUGAAACACCACUUGAAAAUUGGGUUGAGAACAUUAAAGUUUCUUUUUUUCUUCUU
Molecule: long non-coding RNA, 2896 nt
Organism: Felis catus (domestic cat)
Lineage: Eukaryota; Metazoa; Chordata; Mammalia; Carnivora; Felidae
Exons: 2
Source: RefSeq, a predicted model, not a curated record